GAUGAACGCUGGCGGCGUGCCUAAUACAUGCAAGUCGAGCGAAAAGACCAGGAGCUUGCUCCUCUGACGUUAGCGGCGGACGGGUGAGUCACACGUGGAUAACCUACCUAUACGACUGGGAUAACUUCGGGAAGCCGGAGCUUAUACCGGAUAAUAUAUUGCACCGCAUGGUUCAAUAGUUAAAGACGGUUUUGCUGUCACUUAUAGAUGGAUCCGCGCCGCAUUAGCUAGUUGGUAAGGUAACGGCUUACCAAGGCAGCGAUGCUUAGCCGACCUGAGGGGGUGGUCGGACACCUGGGCAGUGAGGAAGGGUACAGACUCCUGGGGUAGGCCGCAGUAGGGAAUCUUACGCGAGGGGGGAAAGGGUGAUAGAGCACCGCGGGGGAAGGGAUGAUGGUGCAAGGAUGGGAAAACUCUGAUAUUAGGGAAGAACUAAUGUGUAAUUAACUAGGAACGUAUUGACGGUACCGGGAGAAUAAGCCCCGGCUAACUACGUG
This 497-nucleotide ribosomal RNA is filed under the name uncultured bacterium. Its description in RNAcentral is "partial 16S ribosomal RNA". It matches the Rfam family "Bacterial small subunit ribosomal RNA", at positions 28 to 507 of the family's 1533-position model. The record is from RNAcentral.